This 288-nucleotide ribosomal RNA is filed under the name Triticum aestivum (bread wheat). RNAcentral describes it as "partial small subunit ribosomal RNA". The record is from RNAcentral. Lineage: Eukaryota; Viridiplantae; Streptophyta; Magnoliopsida; Poales; Poaceae.
GAGGGAGUCUUGUACGCCAAGAAGGACUACAACCUGGCCAAGCACCCCCAGGUCGAUGCCUUGAACCUCGAGGUCAUCAAGCUCAUGCAGAGCUUCAAGUCCUAGGAGUACAUCAGGGAGACCUUCUCGUGGCAGCACUACUACUGGUACCUGACCAACGACGGCAUUGAGUUCCUCCGCACCUUCCUCAACCUGCCAUCUGAGAUCGUGCCCAACACCCUCAAGAAGUCCGCCAAGCCCCCGUCCCGCCCCUUCGGCUCUGGCCCACCGGGUGACCGCCCCAGGUGA